RNAcentral lists this ribosomal RNA (492 nucleotides) under uncultured bacterium. Its description in RNAcentral is "partial 16S ribosomal RNA". It matches the Rfam family "Bacterial small subunit ribosomal RNA", at positions 29 to 507 of the family's 1533-position model. The record is from RNAcentral.
AGUGAACGCUGGCGGUAGGCCUAACACAUGCAAGUCGAACGGCAGCACAGUAAGAGCUUGCUCUUCCGGGUGGCGAGUGGCGUACGGGUGAGGAAUACAUCGGAAUCUACUUUUUCGUGGGGGAUAACGUAGGGAAACUUACGCUAAUACCGCAUACGACCUACGGGUUAAAGCAGGGGAUCUUCGGACCUUGCGCGAUUGAAUGAGCCGAUGUCGGAUUAGCUAGUUGGCGGGGUAAAGGCCCACCAAGGCGACGAUCCGUAGCUGGUCUGAGAGGAUGAUCAGCCACACUGGAACUGAGACACGGUCCAGACUCCUACGGGAGGCAGCAGUGGGGAAUAUUGGACAAUGGGCGCAAGCCUGAUCCAGCCAUACCGCGUGGGUGAAGAAGGCCUUCGGGUUGUAAAGCCCUUUUGUUGGGAAAGAAAAGCAGCAGGUUAAUACCCCGCUGUUCUGACGGUACCCAAAGAAUAAGCACCGGCUAACUUCGUG